AGUGAACGCUGGCGGUAGGCCUAACACAUGCAAGUCGAACGGCAGCACAGUAAGAGCUUGCUCUUACGGGUGGCGAGUGGCGGACGUGUGAGGAAUACAUCGGAAUCUACUUUUUCGUGGGGGAUAACGUAGGGAAACUUACGCUAAUACCGCAUACGACCUACGGGUGAAAGCAGGGGAUCUUCGGACCUUGCGCGAUUGAAUGAGCCGAUGUCGGAUUAGCUAGUUGGCGGGGUAAAGGCCCACCAAGGCGACGAUCCGUAGCUGGUCUGAGAGGAUGAUCAGCCACACUGGAACUGAGACACGGUCCAGACUCCUACGGGAGGCAGCAGUGGGGAAUAUUGGACAAUGGGCGCAAGCCUGAUCCAGCCAUCCCGCGUGGGUGAAGAAGGCCUUCGGGUUGUAAAGCCCUUUUGUUGGGAAAGAAAAGCAGCAGGUUAAUACCCCGCUGUUCUGACGGUACCCAAAGAAUAAGCACCGGCUAACUUCGUG
This 492-nucleotide ribosomal RNA is filed under the name uncultured bacterium. Its description in RNAcentral is "partial 16S ribosomal RNA". It matches the Rfam family "Bacterial small subunit ribosomal RNA", at positions 29 to 507 of the family's 1533-position model. The record is from RNAcentral.